CCUACGGGAUGCACCAGUGGGGAAUAUUGCACAAUGGGCGCAAGCCUGAUGCAGCCAUGCCGCGUGUAUGAAGAGGGCCUUCGGGUUGUAAAGUACUUUCAGCGGGGAGGAAGGCGAUAAGGUUAAUAACCUUGUCGAUUGACGUUACCAACAGAAGAAGCACCGGCUAACUCCGUGCCAGCAGCCGCGGUAAUACGGAGGGUGCAAGCGUUAAUCGGAAUUACUGGGCGUAAAGCGCACGCAGGCGGUUGAUUAAGUUAGAUGUGAAGUCCCCGGGCUUAACCUGGGAAUGGCAUCUAAGACUGGUCAGCUAGAGUCUUGUAGAGGGGGGUAGAAUUCCAUGUGUAGCGGUGAAAUGCGUAGAGAUGUGGAGGAAUACCGGUGGCGAAGGCGGCCCCCUGGACAAAGACUGACGCUCAGGUGCGAAAGCGUGGGGAGCAAACAGGAUUAGAUACCCGAGUAGUC
Molecule: ribosomal RNA, 465 nt
Filed under: uncultured bacterium
Lineage: Bacteria
Description: bacterial SSU rRNA
Rfam family: Bacterial small subunit ribosomal RNA
Source: RNAcentral